Molecule: transfer RNA, 48 nt
Filed under: Ageratum conyzoides
Lineage: Eukaryota; Viridiplantae; Streptophyta; Magnoliopsida; Asterales; Asteraceae
Description: partial tRNA-Phe
Source: RNAcentral
CGGGAUAGCUCAGUUGGUAGAGCAGAGGACUGAAAAUCCUCGUGCCCC